Small nuclear RNA from Dipodomys ordii (Ord's kangaroo rat), 107 nucleotides. The record is from Ensembl. Lineage: Eukaryota; Metazoa; Chordata; Mammalia; Rodentia; Heteromyidae.
GUGCUCACUUCAACAGUACUUGUACUAAAACUAUAACAAUGCAGAGAAGAUUAGCAUGACUCCUGAGCAAGAAUGACCCGCAAAUUCAUAAAGCAUUCCAUAUUUUU